UAGCUGUCUGAAGGAGACAAAUUUGGCAGUCCCCUUGAUUAGGAAGAAAGUCCCCAUGGCUUCUAAGCCCACACACACCACAUAAGUCAUGGCUCCCACCUUGUGCUUUUAAAAUGAGGCCUAAAUGU
This 128-nucleotide non-coding RNA is filed under the name Myotis davidii. Lineage: Eukaryota; Metazoa; Chordata; Mammalia; Chiroptera; Vespertilionidae. The record is from RNAcentral.